Long non-coding RNA from Talpa occidentalis (Iberian mole), 965 nucleotides. RefSeq lists it as uncharacterized. The transcript has 5 exons. Lineage: Eukaryota; Metazoa; Chordata; Mammalia; Eulipotyphla; Talpidae. The record is from RefSeq and is a predicted model, not a curated record.
UGUUUCCCGCCAAGCCUGAGGCGACCCGCGCGCGCCCGGACGCCCCGAGGCAGCCGUCGGACCAAAGGGAAAGGAGACAUUGAAAUUCAUCAAGAGAAGAGCAACAUCAGGCAGAAUCUGGGGGGGUCCAGAUUGAAGAGCAGCACAGCCCAGAUGAUGUUACCUCCUCCCAGUUUCAUGUUAGAUGUCGAGUGUAGUCCUGCUGCUUUCCACGGACUCAGUCUGGAGCUAAGAUGAACUCCACCCUUAAGGGAAGAGUAACUCCGACUUGGUGAGAGGUCAAACUCAGAGCACCACCUCAACCACCUAACUAGGAGAAUCUAAGACUUUUGCCACAAGUUCUACGAGACCAUGAAUGCAAAUGGAUUGUAACUUUGAAAGAAGAGGAGUAACUACUCUGUUUAUUCGCCUUUGCUUAGGGUGGUCCCCAGGAAAGGGGGAAGUUCCAGGUUCCCUGCCCCACCCAAAGGAGGGUGGAGCUGAGCAGGGAGAGGAGAAGCUGCAGAAGAGACUGAGGAAGGAAGCAGGAUGGAGCCAGAAGGAGACCUGGAGGAGGCGCAUGGAGCCUAGAGACAUGUGAAGAAACUGCGCUUGUCUUUUGGUCGUGGACUGGGUGACACAGAUGUGGGUGAGACCCGUGGGGAGGUGACCAUGGCAGCUUUUAUCUUGAUGUUGAUUUUGCUCUUUUCCUUCCGGGCUUGUCUGGUUGUUUCUGAUCCUUUUCUGUGGGUCCCCACUGGAAGAUGCUUUAGACUUGUGGCAGGCUUUGGGGCCUUGCUCUGGGCCGAUCCCAUAUGGAUGGACUUUUACCCACGAGGGGAUGGGUCACUUUGGGUGCUUCAUUUAGAAACUAGACUCUUUGCCUUUCCUGUAUUGUUUCCUAGUUUUAUUAAAGUUCCUUCCCAUUAAAGUCUCAUAUGUUUUGUGUUGAUGCGGCGGAUGGCAGAACCCAUUUAGAAUAGGCA